Clostridium celatum DSM 1785 is the source of this 102-nucleotide regulatory RNA element. It matches the Rfam family "Purine riboswitch aptamer". From Rfam's summary of the family: Riboswitches are metabolite binding domains within certain messenger RNAs that serve as precision sensors for their corresponding targets. Allosteric rearrangement of mRNA structure is mediated by ligand binding, and this results in modulation of gene expression. A class of riboswitches that selectively recognises guanine and becomes saturated at concentrations as low as 5 nM. The record is from Rfam. NCBI's taxonomy places the organism in Bacteria, Bacillati, Bacillota, Clostridia, Eubacteriales, Clostridiaceae.
UAUAAUGAUAAAAAUAACCUUCGUAUAAGCUUGGAAAUAUGGUCCAAGCGUCUCUACAAUAUCACCGUAAAUGAUAUAACUAUGAAGUAAAAAAAUCCACGA